This 233-nucleotide ribosomal RNA is filed under the name uncultured bacterium. Its description in RNAcentral is "partial 16S ribosomal RNA". It matches the Rfam family "Bacterial small subunit ribosomal RNA", at positions 118 to 351 of the family's 1533-position model. The record is from RNAcentral.
UGAGUAACCUGCCCUUAACUCUGGGAUAAGCCUGGGAAACUGGGUCUAAUACCGGAUAUGACUCCUCAUCGCAUGGUGGGGGGUGGAAAGCUUUUUGUGGUUUUGGAUGGACUCGCGGCCUAUCAGCUUGUUGGUGAGGUAAUGGCUCACCAAGGCGACGACGGGUAGCCGGCCUGAGAGGGUGACCGGCCACACUGGGACUGAGACAUGGCCCAGACUCCUACGGGGGGCAG